Molecule: long non-coding RNA, 1729 nt
Organism: Oreochromis aureus
Lineage: Eukaryota; Metazoa; Chordata; Actinopteri; Cichliformes; Cichlidae
Source: Ensembl
AAGGCCCAUGUCAUUCCAACAUUAACCACAAUAAUCUGGUAUCAUAAUAAGAGCAAAAAUGAACCGACAUAACCUGGCUGGGAGUCGAGUCUUAGCAACGACGCGUUAUUUAGUUAACUGAUUAAAAUAGUGCCGGCUGAGAUGAUCACAAUCAUACUUCUUUUUCAAUGAAAAACAAAACAGAUACACAAGUGCAGAGACUUACAGACCUCACAGAGGGUCUGUCUUCUUCUUUUUUCUUUUUUUUAAAGAGCGGUUAUAAUAAUAAGAGCUUUAAUCUGCCUUUGCAACUAACUACAUUACAGGAAGUACACACACUGAAGGCUUCACAAAGAAAAACUGUUCUGUACAUCGAUUCAGCCAAAGCAUCCAAGCACAUUUCCACCGUUACAAACAGCCUGAACAGUGCAAUCAACUCAGCUAGCUGCCCUCGUGUCUGGAGUUCACCGGCUUUGACAGCAGCCUGUAGGAGAUCCCCGUUUAUCCCACAAAUGUAGCCGAAUGACGAAACACUGACUCAGAACAGACUCAAGUAUUUUAAAGGGAACCUAUUAUGUUUUUCCUUUUUUUUUUUUCGUCACAGGUGUACACCUACAAUUCAGCAUCAAACUGCACAGACUCGAUCAGAUGCACAGGCGCUCACGGAGCAGCUGGCAGAAGGUCAAAUCCUGAGAAACCACCUCAGGAUUUGAAGUGACUCAGUCUGUCUUUGGGAGGUGUGUGUGUGUGUGUGUGUGUGCGUGUGUGUGCGGGCAACACAAUUAGUGAGCAGUUGCCAUGGCAACAGAAACGCCAACAACAGUUGAGCUGUUUCUGCAGUAGUAAAUAAACUGCAAACCCUCAGCCUGGAUUAAGAUAUUAUCAUAUGUGCAUUUGUGAUGCAAUAAAAAUGUUAUUUUUAAAUACUGAUUAUGAUCAUUGUCAGUAAUGUUAUAUUGGCACCUCUUAUUAAAACCAUUAUUGUUUAUAAAUCUGAAGCAAAAGUUUAAACUUCAGACUGCUUUAAACUCAGUUUUUUUUUCUACUCUUGGCUCUGCAUGAAGUCAGAGAGAGUGGAUAUCCCUAAUAUGGUCAUCUGACAACAGAAGUCCCACCCACCUGUAUAGGGGGAGGGGCAAUUCAGAACAAAAGGGGAAGAGCUAAAACUGUUUGUUUCAGAUAAGCAAGGUUGAUUAUGAUUGUUUUAUUUUAAGCUUUCAAUUAUUUUAUUGAAUCUGUAUGUUAUGGAUUUAACUUAUGAGUUUCAUAAUUUUUUACUAUGCUAUUGUUGCUCGUUUUUUCUUUUCCCAUGCUAAAAUUCACAGCCUAUACAGAGGUUUGGCAAGAACCAGCACAUCGUGCUUCCUCCUGGAGGGAAAUCUGCAGUAUAAAUGAUGUUUUGCUUGCUUUUUAGGGAUUAUUUUGAAUUCUGAAUCACACAAAGUGACUCUAGUAGCAGUAAACAGAAUAGGUUCCCUUUAACUUCAGUUCAAAUAAGUACAAUAAACAGUAGUUUUUAGAAAACCUUCAGUCUGGAGUAAAUCCAAAUAAAAUAAAAAGUACAUCUGUGACAAAACAAAUUCAAACCUUCACUGGCUGUUAAUCUCUUUAUAUACUAAACACGACCGAUUGUGUCCUCUCUUACUGCAUACAUGCUGUGAAGCAGACCGGAUCACCUCGUGAGCGCUUUCCAAGAUGUCCAGGAGAAGAUCCGAUCUGCCCACGAGGAGUCUGUGAUCUUUUGGUUUGU